This 372-nucleotide ribosomal RNA is filed under the name uncultured organism. RNAcentral describes it as "partial 16S ribosomal RNA". It matches the Rfam family "Bacterial small subunit ribosomal RNA", at positions 527 to 896 of the family's 1533-position model. The record is from RNAcentral.
GUAGGUGGCAAGCGUUGUCCGGAAUUAUUGGGCGUAAAGCGCGCGCAGGCGGUCCUUUAAGUCUGAUGUGAAAGCCCAUGGCUCAACCGUGGAGGGUCAUUGGAAACUGGGGGACUUGAGUACAGAAGAGGAAAGCGGAAUUCCAAGUGUAGCGGUGAAAUGCGUAGAGAUUUGGAGGAACACCAGUGGCGAAGGCGGCUUUCUGGUCUGUAACUGACGCUGAGGCGCGAAAGCGUGGGGAGCAAACAGGGAUUAGAUACCCUGGUAGUCCACGCCGUAAACGAUGAGUGCUAAGUGUUAGGGGGUUUCCGCCCCCUUAGUGCUGCAGCUAACGCAUUAAGCACUCCGCCUGGGGAUACGGCCGCAAGGCUG